Molecule: long non-coding RNA, 506 nt
Filed under: Brassica rapa (field mustard)
Lineage: Eukaryota; Viridiplantae; Streptophyta; Magnoliopsida; Brassicales; Brassicaceae
Description: long non-coding RNA (BRAP_LNC006874)
Source: RNAcentral
UGGUGAUCAGGUUAAUUCGUGGUUAGUUUGAAGAGAGACAACCAGUCAAGUUUAAUUAGUUGAGUAAAACCGGUAAGCUUCAGCUUCUUGAUUCAACCAUGUUUUGAUGAGAACCAAUUGCUGUAUGUUGGUUAACCUGCUACGAUCAGUUGUCUAAGGUCUUGUUCUCUUCAGUCUUGGUUGGUUUAUAAUUUAAUCAGUCUAAUAGAACCAGUAGACGAACUGAUAAGAAUUAUGGGAAUUAAACCGAACUGAUUUGAUCUUGUUUAGAACUGAAUUAAGCUGAGUAUGUUCUGAUCUGAUCUGAGCCGAGCUGUCUAUGGUCUGAAAUUGUCUUGAACUGAUGUCGUCUGAGUAUAACCGAGUUAAACUGUUGGGAACUGAUAUGAACCGAGUUAAAUUGUUAAAGCUUGAACCGAGCUGAACAUGGUAUCAAUCUGUCUUGAACCGAACUGAUAUGAGAGAACUGAACUGAAUUGUUAUGACCUGAGUUGAGUUUCUUCUUG